CAGUAGCCGCGGUAAUACGAAGGGUGCAAGCGUUAAUCGGAAUUACUGGGCGUAAAGCGUGCGUAGGCGGUUUGUUAAGUCUGUUGUGAAAUCCCCGGGCUCAACCUGGGAAUGGCAAUGGAUACUGGCAAGCUAGAGUGUGUCAGAGGAUGGUGGAAUUCCCGGUGUAGCGGUGAAAUGCGUAGAGAUCGGGAGGAACAUCAGUGGCGAAGGCGGCCAUCUGGGACAACACUGACGCUGAGGCACGAAAGCGUGGGGAGCAAACAGGAUUAGAGACCCCCGUAGUCCCUGUCUCUUAUAC
This 301-nucleotide ribosomal RNA is filed under the name uncultured bacterium. Its description in RNAcentral is "partial 16S ribosomal RNA". It matches the Rfam family "Bacterial small subunit ribosomal RNA", at positions 509 to 807 of the family's 1533-position model. The record is from RNAcentral.